AAGUGCGAAUGCUGACAUAAGUAACGAUAAAGCGGGUGAAAAGCCCGCUCGCCGGAAGACCAAGGGUUCCUGUCCAACGUUAAUCGGGGCAGGGUGAGUCGACCCCUAAGGCGAGGCCGAAAGGCGUAGUCGAUGGGAAACAGGUUAAUAUUCCUGUACUUGGUGUUACUGCGAAGGGGGGACGGAGAAGGCUAUGUUGGCCGGGCGACGGUUGUCCCGGUUUAAGCGUGUAGGCUGGUUUUCCAGGCAAAUCCGGAAAAUCAAGGCUGAGGCGUGAUGACGAGGCACUACGGUGCUGAAGCAACAAAUGCCCUGCUUCCAGGAAAAGCCUCUAAGCAUCAGGUAACAUCAAAUCGUACCCCAAACCGACACAGGUGGUCAGGUAGAGAAUACCAAGGCGCUUGAGAGAACUCGGGUGAAGGAACUAGGCAAAAUGGUGCCGUAACUUCGGGAGAAGGCACGC
RNAcentral lists this ribosomal RNA (463 nucleotides) under Escherichia coli. RNAcentral describes it as "partial 23S ribosomal RNA". It matches the Rfam family "Bacterial large subunit ribosomal RNA", at positions 1286 to 1751 of the family's 2925-position model. The record is from RNAcentral. Lineage: Bacteria; Pseudomonadati; Pseudomonadota; Gammaproteobacteria; Enterobacterales; Enterobacteriaceae.